Non-coding RNA from Amblyraja radiata (thorny skate), 1143 nucleotides. The record is from the annotation of a RefSeq genome assembly. Lineage: Eukaryota; Metazoa; Chordata; Chondrichthyes; Rajiformes; Rajidae.
AUGGAGAAAGACAGGAGAACUGAGGAACUUGGGACAGUCACUGGAAGUAUCUUGAGAGCAGUCAAUAUUAUGGUUGAAGAGGUGCUGGAUAUCGUGAAGCACUCGGGAACAUAUUACUGUCAAGCAAAGCACCAGAAUCAACACAUCGGGAAUGGAAGUGGCUGUCUGCUCACUGUGUUCGAUCCCCCAACUCCCUUGACAAUUGUUCCUGCUGAAGGACUUGGCUCUCCACGGAAACUUGUGUGCAAAACUGGCGCCUUUUAUCCGGAGAAAUUAGAAAUAUUCUGGCUAAGAAAUAACGAGGAAAUUCGCACUGGAAUCGAAACUGUGAAAAAACCGAGCGAAGAAGGAUUGUUUGUGGCUUCUAGUUUUUUGGAAAUAACGCAGCCUGGGGAGGGCAAAGAUAUUUACACCUGUCUGGUAUCACAUAUCUCCCUGAAGGUGGCGGCCAGUUUCAGUUAUACCCUGGGCCAAGCUACCGAAGUCUAUUCGACCGGAGUGUCCCAAUUCCCUGUCAACUUGGACGUUGGCGGCGGUGAACAUGCUAUCAUGUAUUGCAAAUUUCCAAUAUCGAAAGACACUAUUGGCGUUAAUUGGUGGAGGGACGGCAUGAAGACAUUCCUUGAACCGGACAGUAGAAAACAAUUUACGAUAGAUUCUGGAAGCGGAACAUUUACUCUCCAACAUGUGCGUGUCGCUGACUCCGGCAUGUAUUACUGUCAAGUAAAGUUGCAGCAUCAGUUUAUCGGGAAUGGGAGUGGCUGCCUGAUCACCGUAUUUGAUCCCCCAACUCCCUUGACAAUUGUUCCUGCUGAAGGACUUGGCUCUCCACGGAAACUUGUGUGCAAAACUGGCGCCUUUUAUCCGGAGAAAUUAGAAAUAUUCUGGCUAAGAAAUAACGAGGAAAUUCGCACUGGAAUCGAAACUGUGAAAAAACCGAGCGAAGAAGGAUUGUUUGUGGCUUCUAGUUUUUUGGAAAUAACGCAGCCUGGGGAGGGCAAAGAUAUUUACACCUGUCUGGUAUCACAUAUCUCCCUGAAGGUGGCGGCCAGUUUCAGUUAUACCCUGGGCCAAGUGUUUGUAAUGAGCAAAAACGUCCUGGGAUAUGCAGUAUCUGGUGAAAUAUAUGAAGAUAAAGCCUAA